AGAUAUGAUAGAAGAUGGUUCCCAUUGCCUCUCAGUUACUUACACUCGAGCUUCAACUCCACACGAACUCCCGAUCGAUGGACGAAAAUCUGAAAAUCCAACGCUUUGAAGUUCCUCCUUCGGCCUCAGACUUCGAGUUUCUCAUUGAAUCUCGCGACGUUCCCGCUGUUCUUGUAGGAUGCGUUAAGGACUGGAGAGCUGUAUCGGAGUGGAAUCCGUACAAUGGCGGCCUUGACAAUCUACAGGUUGUAUUUCAACGUUCCCGCUGUAAGCUAGCUCCUUGGUGUUUCGUUAAGCUGCUGAUUAUUUUUCCAAGCUAGCUUAGGAUUUCUAGCUUGUUUUGAUAUAUAUAUAUAUAUAUAUAUUUACAAUUUAAUCCUUGUAAUUAAAAAGACGUAAUCAAUAAGUACCUCGUCAAAGAUUCCUCUGUAGAUCAGCCAUAGGAAGAGGUAUAUUGUUGGCAUUUAUCAAUGCAUAGGUAACUCCAAAUAAGAUUUGUAAUGAAUUUUUUGAUGUAAAACAUUUUACCGUUACAUUUUUUAAGAAGUACGAGGAGAAAAUUGCUGUAAAGAAAAGUAGGAAGACUAGAACGUUAUAAAUGUCAUAAUAUUGGGACUCUCGUGGAGUAUUGUGCUUAAGCUUAAGUUAUUCUGGCCUAUGUUUUGAAAGCUUGUAAGCUAUGAUCACUAACUGUAUGAUGAAAAUUUAUAGAUUGAGUUUGAAUGCUCAGUAUCUCCAUGAACUUUUCAUUAUGCUUUUUUUUUUUCAUUAAGGCUAUUGUGCUAGAGUUGGGUUCGACAUCUUUAAAAUUCAGGUCAGAACGAAGUUUUGCAUGUGCGUUGUUCUCUUGCUGACAUGAAUGAAACAAAGAGCCAUGAGCAUGUCGUACCAAGUAUCAGAAGGAUGGAUCAAGGAGUUCAAUGUUUGAGUCAAUUACUUGAAGGUGGGGAUUUGAGGGAAAAAGAGCUAAGGGAAGAAACUUAUUCUCAUAGGCUCUGCAUGGGCUUAUUACUAUAGUUCAUGACAACAUAAGCGCUUCCGAUCAAAUUAAACACCUAGAAUCAAGUUCUACAAAAGGUUCUGCAGAUGAGGUGGAGAGGAUGGAGAUGACUAGUUUACAGAGCUUGGAGAACGAUCAAAUAGCUACCUUUAUUUGGAAUUUGGAACCAUGUAUUCUUCAAAAGUUCCUUCUCACCAUGGCGGUGAUUUCUUUUGACUUCCCCAUUACAUUUACAAGGUUGAAAUUGUUUUUCAUGGAAGGCCUUGAGGAAACUAGUUUAUUCCAAUUAUUCUGGUCUAAUUAAUAUACUAAGGUUUCUCAUUAUCGAAAUAGAUGCAUGAAUAUAUUCGAUGGAUGUCAAACUAUUUUUAGUUUUAGUCGAUAGAUGUGUGAAAUUGUUCCUCUUUUUCUUGCUUUCCCCUUCUUUGUUUCUUCCUUAGCUUGUCAUCUUAUCCUACUUUCUUUUCCAUCUAGAAUGACUUCCCAAGAACUCUAGAGGCUCUUAUACUGCACUUGCUUUCUCCAGUUGGAGCAGAAGUUCUUACUCGAAAAUUUGAUUAGAUGGAUCAAGGAAACACCGAUGAGGAUCAGUUUAUUAUAUUCUUACAAAAAAAGAUUCUUCCUAUUAUUAUGGAUUCUGUGGGAGAUGUUUUACUUUUGGCUGAUAUCUCUUCAUCCCUGGAAAAGACUCUACGGGGUUUUCUAUAGUUCAUUUGAUGAUCAAUUUGCUGCGAUGGAUGCAAUUCUAAACAGGAAAGAGUCUUUUGCUCGUCAGGUCAUUGUAACUCUAUUUAACAGUAACAUUUUUAUUAUUUGUUAUUUAUUUUACUUCAACCAUGAUAUCUCCCCUGUUUAUCGUAGUAAUAGCUCUGUGCAAUUUGUUUUUAAUCAUAGGUAGGAUUUGCCUUCUAUAUUUUUCUCUUUUCCCGGAACAAAAUACUGAGCACACAAGUAGAUGGUAAUAGUUAUUGGUCUCGAAGGCAAUCUUUGUAGGCUAACAACAAAAGCUCUUCUCACAUCUUUAUCUCAUCCUCCAUAAAUUUGGCUGGCCUCAAAUUGCAAACAGCAUUCUGCAUUUUUGUGCUCAGCUUUUGUUCUUGUGAAAUAUCUUAUUUGGCUUAUUAGUUAGACACUUCUAUGUAGCUUUCACGCAACCUUGAAAAAUGGGCAGCAUAUUUGCUCAACCAAAACCGCCAAACAGGUACUGUUACAUAAGUUGAUCUUGCAAAGAUCCUAAUGAAUUAUUGUGUUUGGCUUCAAGGAACUGCAAAUCUUUUUUUUUUUUCUUUUUGGUUGUUAACUUUUCUGUUUCAGGACUAGAAGCAAUUUAUUUAAUUUUUAAAACUAAAGUUUGAUUAAGUGCCUAAACUGAGUUCUUUCUUCUCACAGCCUUAAAUAUCUGUUCCCUUCCGUGAAUUUGGUAUCUAUUGAUACUUUUGAAUCUUAGCGAAUGCGCAUGCUCUCUGGCCGCAGUUUUCUACUUGUGUCUAUAUAUAUAUAUAUUUUUAAUUUAUUACGCCAAUUUCAGUUUCUGUGUUUUGAAGGGAAGCAUAUUUAUUUCCAUUCUGCAUUUAUUUAUUUUAAAAACAUCAUUAUUGUCGUCACCAAAGAAUAGACACAACUAGCCAACCUGCAUAUUCAUUAGGACUUCUUUUUAUUCCCUCCCUAAUAAAUAAGCAUGACCAGAGAAUAUUCUGCUGCAACGCUUUGAGACUUUACUUGUUGUGUUAUUGUAAUUUAACUUUAAUUUUUGCGUCAGGCGUUCAAGAGUGUGCUGGAUAAAUACUUGGGAGUAAACUUAAAUGGGCCAAAUCCGGGAUCUUGAAGGGGAAGUCCUUUAAAGAAAUUGGUCCUGCAGAUUCUGGAGCAUAUCGAUGCUAUCCAUUUUCUAAGCUUUUCCUCGAUUGGAAUCACAUAAAGGUAGAUGCACCACUUUGCAUUAUCACCAUGGCUUUUUACUCUCAUCAGCUUGGGAGAAUAUUAAAUAUAUACACAUACUAAGCUGAUUGAACCUCUGGUUAAGCUGGCUACUAAAGGUUGUGUUGUGGGGAAUAUGCACAGAAAUUGAUAAAGCCCCUCUUAGCAACAACAGUAACAAAAGAAAGACUCACCACAGAAUUGCAAUUCAAUCUUCCAGAGCUCUUUGUUGGUAUCAUUUUCAUCCCCGUUGACAUUUUUCUUCUUCUUUAUUUUCUUUAUUUUCCUUUUCUUCCUUUAGGUUUUAGUUUGCAGCAGCACCCAAAUCCCGGACCACCACCACAAACACUCGCUCACUGGGGCACAAAUCCACAUAACACCAUCAACUUAGGUUGCCUUUAUUUUUUAAGAGAGGAAAAAAAGAAAAAAACACUCGCACUUGCAACUAAAUUUUACUGCUCCUUCCAUCUGACUUCACAAAAGGCUUCUCUAUUCAAAUAGUUCCAGUAAUUUCUCAGUACCUCUAGAAAAGUUGUGAAGGGGAAAAAAAACAUCUUGGGAUUUGAUUUUUUCAACUCGAAUUUCACCCAUGAUGUGGAAAAAGAAUGUUUUGCCCAUUCUUGGCUAUGAUUGUAAUGGUAAUAAGGUUGAAUAUCUAACUUGUUAGGAAUCACAUAUCUCCACGCCACUUUAAGUAUAAAUUCUUAUGGUUUUACUUUUGGUUUCCCCGAAAGGCCUCAUAUCAAUGGAGAUGUAUUCCUUACUUAUAAAUCCAUGAUCAUUUUCUUAAUUACCCAAUGUAGAACUCCUUCCCAACAAUUCUCAACACGACUCAACAAUUUUCAACACGACUGAUAGAACA
Molecule: non-coding RNA, 3779 nt
Organism: Cucurbita pepo subsp. pepo (vegetable marrow)
Lineage: Eukaryota; Viridiplantae; Streptophyta; Magnoliopsida; Cucurbitales; Cucurbitaceae
Source: RefSeq, a predicted model, not a curated record